CAAAGAGGGGGACAACAGGGGGAAACGACGGCAAACACCGCAAAACCCCACGGCGCCGCAGGGCACAGAGGGAAAAGGAGUAAUCCGCUAAGAGACGGCCCUCGCGUCCGAUUAGCGAGGGGGGGAGGUAACGGCCCACCAAGGCGACGAUCGGUAGCCGGACUGAGAGGUUGAACGGCCACAUUGGGACUGAGACACGGCCCAGACUCCUACGGGAGGCAGCAGUGGGGAAUAUUGCACAAUGGGGGAAACCCUGAUGCAGCGACGCCGCGUGGAGGAAGAAGGCCUUCGGAUUGUAAACUCCUGUUGUUGGGGAAGAUAAUGACGGUACCCAACAAGGAAGUGACGGCUAACUACGUGCCAGCAGCCGCGGUAAAACGUAGGUCACAAGCGUUGUCCGGAAUUACUGGGUGUAAAGGGAGCGCAGGCGGGAAGACAAGUUGGAAGUGAAAUCUAUGGGCUCAACCCAUAAACUGCUUUCAAAACUGUUUUUCUUGAGUAGUGCAGAGGUAGGCGGAAUUUCCGGUGUAGCGGUGGAAUGCGUAGAUAUCGGGAGGAACACCAGUGGCGAAGGCGGCCUACUGGGCACCAACUGACGCUGAGGCUCGAAAGUGUGGGUAGCAAACAGGAUUAGAUACCCUGGUAGUCCACACCGUAAACGAUGAUUACUAGGUGUUGGAGGAUUGACCCCUUCAGUGCCGCAGUUAACACAAUAAGUCAUCCACCUGGGGAGUACGACCGCAAGGUUGAAACUCAAAGGAAUUGACGGGGGCCCGCACAAGCAGUGGAGUAUGUGGUUUAAUUCGACGCAACGCGAAGAACCUUACCAAGUCUUGACAUCCCUUGACAGACAUAGAAAUAUGUAAUCUCUUCGGAGCAAGGAGACAGGUGGUGCAUGGUUGUCGUCAGCUCGUGUCGUGAGAUGUUGGGUUAAGUCCCGCAACGAGCGCAACCCUUAUGGUCAGUUACUACGCAAGAGGACUCUGGCCAGACUGCCGUUGACAAAACGGAGGAAGGUGGGGAUGACGUCAAAUCAUCAUGCCCUUUAUGACUUGGGCUACACACGUACUACAAUGGCGUUAAACAAAGAGAAGCAAGACCGCGAGGUGGAGCAAAACUCAGAAACAACGUCCCAGUUCGGACUGCAGGCUGCAACUCGCCUGCACGAAGUCGGAAUUGCUAGUAAUCGUGGAUCAGCAUGCCACGGUGAAUACGUUCCCGAGCCUUGCACA
Molecule: ribosomal RNA, 1232 nt
Filed under: uncultured bacterium
Lineage: Bacteria
Description: bacterial SSU rRNA
Rfam family: Bacterial small subunit ribosomal RNA
Source: RNAcentral